RNAcentral lists this ribosomal RNA (786 nucleotides) under uncultured marine bacterium. RNAcentral describes it as "bacterial SSU rRNA". It matches the Rfam family "Bacterial small subunit ribosomal RNA", at positions 14 to 794 of the family's 1533-position model. The record is from RNAcentral.
UGAUCCUGGCUCAGAUUGAACGCUGGCGGCAGGCCUAACACAUGCAAGUCGAACGGAAACAUGUCUAGCUUGCUAGAUGAUGUCGAGUGGCGGACGGGUGAGUAAUACUUAGGAAUAUGCCUUUGGGUGGGGGAUAACUAUUGGAAACGAUAGCUAAUACCGCAUAACGUCUACGGACCAAAGGGGGGACUUGUUCCUCUCGCCUAUUGAGUAGCCUAAGCGAGAUUAGCUUGUUGGUGAGGUAAAGGCUCACCAAGGCGACGAUCUCUAGCUGUUCUGAGAGGAAGAUCAGCCACACUGGGACUGAGACACGGCCCAGACUCCUACGGGAGGCAGCAGUGGGGAAUAUUGCACAAUGGGGGAAACCCUGAUGCAGCCAUGCCGCGUGUGUGAAGAAGGCCUUCGGGUUGUAAAGCACUUUCAGUUGUGAGGAAAGGGUGUUGGUUAAUACCCAUCAUCUGUGACGUUAACAACAGAAGAAGCACCGGCUAACUCCGUGCCAGCGGCCGCGGUAAUACGGAGGGUGCGAGCGUUAAUCGGAAUUACUGGGCGUAAAGCGCACGCAGGCGGUUUGUUAAGCUAGAUGUGAAAGCCCCGGGCUCAACCUGGGAAUAGCAUUUAGAACUGGCAGACUAGAGUCUUGGAGAGGGGAGUGGAAUUCCAGGUGUAGCGGUGAAAUGCGUAGAGAUCUGGAGGAACAUCAGUGGCGAAGGCGACUCCCUGGCCAAAGACUGACGCUCAUGUGCGAAAGUGUGGGUAGCGAACAGGAUUAGAUACCCUGGUAGU